Molecule: ribosomal RNA, 605 nt
Filed under: uncultured cyanobacterium
Lineage: Bacteria; Bacillati; Cyanobacteriota
Description: bacterial SSU rRNA
Rfam family: Bacterial small subunit ribosomal RNA
Source: RNAcentral
CCUUUCGGGGUGAGUGGCGGACGGGUGAGUAACGCGUGAGAAUCUGCCUAGAGGUCGGGGACAACCAUUGGAAACGAUGGCUAAUACCGGAUAUGCCUUACGGGGUGAAAGAUUAAUCGCCUUUAGAAGAGCUCGCGUCUGAUUAGUUAGUUGGUAGGGUAAAAGCCUACCAAGGCAUCGAUCAGUAGCUGGUCUGAGAGGAUGACCAGCCACACUGGGACUGAGACACGGCCCAGACUCCUACGGGAGGCAGCAGUGGGGAAUUUUCCGCAAUGGGCGAAAGCCUGACGGAGCAAGACCGCGUGAGGGAGGAAGGCUCUUGGGUCGUAAACCUCUUUUGUCAGGGAAGAACAAAAUGACGGUACCUGACGAAUCAGCAUCGGCUAACUCCGUGCCAGCAGCCGCGGUAAUACGGAGGAUGCAAGCGUUAUCCGGAAUUAUUGGGCGUAAAGCGUCCGCAGGUGGCACUUCAAGUCUGUCGUCAAAGACCGGGGCUUAACCCUGGAAAGGCGAUGGAAACUGAAAGGCUAGAGAGAGGUAGGGGUAGAGGGAAUUCCCAGUGUAGCGGUGAAAUGCGUAGAGAUUGGGAAGAACAUCGGUGGCGA